CAUAGAGGGUUGUGGGCAUGGAGUUCCCGUUGUCUCCCACGGAAGGUGUGACAAGGAAAGAGUUAACUCAGUUCUGGGCUCUGCCUGCUUCUGUGGCCUGGUUUGGCCUUUCCUUCCUUUUCUAGGCCCCCUUCUCUCCCCUGGCUCUCACACACUCUUUGCAGCUGCCUCCCAAACCAGUCCUGCAGUCUGAUGAAAGUUCCAGAGCAGGUGGACACAGAUGAACACUCUGGUCACAGGGACACCCAGGGACAUCAGGAUAGUUCUACGACCACCACACUAUAAGAGACACUGUCCACCAUAGUUUUUGAGACGAAGUCUGUCACUGAGACCUAAGGGUCACCAACUUGACUGGACCGGCGAGCAGUCAGUUCUAGGAAGCCUCCCUGUCUCUGCCUCCUCGGCGCUGGGAUUACAAGUGUGGCGCCACGCCCAGCUUUUUACACAGGUCUUGGGGACUGAACCCAGGCCCAACCAUCUCCAUCCUUAUGUGGCGAG
Molecule: non-coding RNA, 498 nt
Organism: Myodes glareolus (Bank vole)
Lineage: Eukaryota; Metazoa; Chordata; Mammalia; Rodentia; Cricetidae
Source: RefSeq, a predicted model, not a curated record